Long non-coding RNA from Ictalurus punctatus (channel catfish), 2087 nucleotides. The record is from Ensembl. NCBI's taxonomy places the organism in Eukaryota, Metazoa, Chordata, Actinopteri, Siluriformes, Ictaluridae.
GAAACCUGAAGCACAAGCUUGAAGUGCACGUCUGGGUGUUUCGUGACAUUGACUUUACUUUUGACACUUUGUUAUGUUUUAUUAUGGUUUUACAUCCUGUCUCCGCCCCUGUAUUGUUAUUGGUUGUUUCCCGUAUGUGUCAUCAUUGGACUCAGUUUUGUGUUUCACCCUUGAUUACGUUUAGUAUUUAAACCCCUCGUGCCUCAUUGUUCGUCGCGAAGUAUUGUGUGAGUGUUACCACUGUAGCAAGCCUUUGUAUUUGUGUUUUGGUUCAUGGUUUUGGAUCUUGUUUCUCAUUUCGUGCUUUGCCUUGCCUGUUUCAUGCCCGUUUGCCAAUCACCUGACCCUUUGCCUGUUUUGACCAUGCUUCACGAUUUGGAUUGGUCUGCCCGCCUCUCUUACGUGGCAGAAUUUAGAGCCUUCCCAGGUUCACAGCAAUUCUCCGACCUAUCAACUACUAACUUUGGGGAUAUAAUUCAAUCUGAAAGCCAUUAAUCAUUUAAUGUUGAUAAAUGAUAUAUUAUGAUUGAUAUCUCUUACUGUAUUGUAUUCCCACAAUACAGUACGAGAUUUUUCAGUCUCUUAACUGGAUUGUCAGUAUGACCUUUUAAUAAAGCAUGCAUUAUGAAGUAUUGACUGAAAUAUUGACUUGCAAAAAAUAUUCAUGGCCAGUUUACACAUGCUAUCUGGGGAUGCAUCUGUAAUCCCCGUUCAGAGCACGGACAACUUAAAUUCUUCUAUUGAUAAUAAUAACCCUGAACCUGGUGUUCAUUGAUUGCGUCAUGAUGUGGCAAUAGCUGUCGGGACACAAACCUCGUCGGUGUCAUCUUGACAUUCCUGUAAAUAGCACAAUCACAGGAGGUGAUAUUAACACGUUAGUUGCAAGUGCGUCAGCCUUCACUCUUUAACGUUUUAAACUCUCAGAUCCAGUCUAACAUUCAUUAGUCUAGUAACUACAUUCCCUUUCCUUAUUAGCUUCACUCUAGUUACUGCAUCAUUUAUUCUCGAUCCUAAAUAACAUGCUUUCCAAUGAAUAGCUGGGAUUUAGAAAAGUCUGAUUUUUAAGUGCCGUGGGAACUAAUUCAAUCGUUUCCAUAAUCUGCGCUAAUAAAGGGAAGCUUCAGCUGGAUUAACAGUAAGUAAUUGAUGGUAAUCAAUUAAUGGAUUUUUAACAAUUGUGCUUUGUUAUUUGAUCUCCAGAGGUGACGUAAACGUGAGACGAGACAGCCGAUUGGACAGUACACUCGCGGAAUCUGACGGAGACUCACAGGAGGAGAGCGAGGACGAUGACGAAGAUGAAGAUGAAGAGUCCACGGCCAGCGACGGAGAAGAAGUGUCGGGAUCAUCGUGGCUACGCUGCGUCCUCCAGUGAGAGAGAGAGAGAAAUGAGAGAGACCAAGACAGGAAGAGCUAGAACGUGAGGUGUGAAGUUUAGCAGAUUGAGCGGGUGGCGGCAGGGCAAAGAGCGCGGAUGGACAACAGCUUGUUCUUCAUGUAAAUCUUGCAUCAUGGAGCCAAUAAACGUGCCAUGCUAUGACUGUGUGUGUGUGUCUGAGAUUAUUUAUCAUCUCUGGCAUUUCUGUCUAUAAAUAUCAGGAUACCUCUUCAUCGUGCACUCCUCCACCCAGCGCCAAAUUAAUGCGUAUUGAUUUUUUUUUACUGCCUCUAUUUUGUUGAUCCUGUCUGUCCUCCUGAAACGAACGAAAUACUUUUUCUCCCUUCCCUGUUCUCAGACAGAAUAUGAUGAAAUUGUUUCUCCGUUUUAUCUUUUGGUUUCUGUUUUCAAAAUGCGUUCCAUUUUCCGCUUCUGUUCGGUUAAACUGAACCAGUUGAAAAGCAUAAUUAGCAUUUAAAUCUGUCUUUUACAGGAACAACCAUCUCUCUCACACUCUCUCUCUCUCUCUAAUACUCUUUCUCUCAAGCUAUCUCUAUCAUGCUCUCUCUCUUUCUUGUUUAUGUUCUUUCUCUCUCACUUAUGCCCUCUCUCUCUCUCUCUCUCUCUCUCUCACUCACUCUCUCUCUCCAUGUCUCUGUCGCUAAGGCAACCAAUGCUUUUUCUCACUCUGACACACUCUGGCUCUCUCCCA